Molecule: long non-coding RNA, 724 nt
Organism: Trichosurus vulpecula (common brushtail)
Lineage: Eukaryota; Metazoa; Chordata; Mammalia; Diprotodontia; Phalangeridae
Exons: 3
Source: RefSeq, a predicted model, not a curated record
CGGGGCGCCCCCGGCUCCGGCGCCCGCGCCCCCCUCCAGCCCGCUCCUGUUACUCUGCUUCCCCGGCUGUGUUUGUGCCGCUGCCGCCUCACUGCCCCUCCAGCCUCCGUUUCCAACUUCCCGCUGUGGCUUCCGGGCCCGAAGAACUGGAGACAAGUCUCAUCUACUUAAGGCAGCAUUGUCUUUGGGUUCCUUAAACAUGAAGGCAGUUGUUGGAAGCAAACUGUUAAAAGCUGUGGUAGUGGCUGCCUGGUAAGAGCCACGUGAAGAAGGCUGUGACCGAUUUCAGCGCCACACCUUUCCCGCUCUGCUCGGCGGGGUCCUUGCUGCUUUCCCACUUGUAGAAGGCGUCCUCUGAGAUCACCUCCUCAUCAUAGAGACAAUCAAAAAACAUCCGCAACAGAUCUGCAAGAGGGCGAGAGGGGCUGUCAGUACCUUUAAGGACAAACAAAGGAUGUUUUUCCCCAAGCAGUGAUUUUGCACAGAUUCUCAAAGAGGACAUCAGUGUUGGUCUCCCCCUUAAAAACAAUUUUCAGUGUUACACCAGCACAAAGACUUGGGGACAUGAAGAAAGGAGAAGGCAAUAAUUUACAUGGUGUCUAAAAUCACUUUUCUGUAGCUAUUAUUUAACUCCAGUCUAAUUUUUCUACGGUACUAGGUGUAUAUCAUUUUAUAUUACAUUCCAAUAAUCUUUUAAAAAUAAAAAGUCUGGGUUGCUCCUCAU